Molecule: non-coding RNA, 1239 nt
Organism: Ictidomys tridecemlineatus (thirteen-lined ground squirrel)
Lineage: Eukaryota; Metazoa; Chordata; Mammalia; Rodentia; Sciuridae
Source: RefSeq, a predicted model, not a curated record
GGGAUGAUGGGGAGGGGGUUGAUUUUCUUUCGUGGAGCUUGCUGCUUAGCGCUUUGAGGAAGCCGGGGACAGAGGGUUGUUUUAAUUAAAAGGGAUAAGAUAUGAUGGAGGUGUGAAAAAGUAAGAAGAAAAAAAUCUCUUGGGGUUACUUUUGAGAUUUAAAAACAAUGAGUGGUCGGCCGCGGUGUGAGCAGACACUGGCUGGACAGGCAGCGGACGAAAGCCACUGGGGAGCGCGACGGGGGCUGGAAGGUGGGGACCAGCCGGAAUGAAUGAGCCUGGACUGGGACCAGGGCGGAGCGAGGAUCAGCGCGCGCGGCCUUGAACUCCAGAUUUGCAGUCUCGGCGGAGGUGCUGGGACCCCUCGGAUCACUCCUUGUCUCUGGAUACCGGAAUCUCCCUGGCCAGCUCUAAGGAAGAGUGGAAAGAUUUGGCCCUGGAGUCUCCCUUGUCUCCUGAGGCUACAUGUGCCUGGAGGAAGCUUCCAGUGAUAAAUAAGGGCAGUUGUCUUUCCUGUGAGAGAGAUGGGGCUGCAAGGGACAGAAGGGCCUGUUAACUACACGUCAAAGGAAGGGUCUUGAAUCUUUAUCUCCCAGGAAACUUUUGAGGUUUGCUGGAGUCCAAGUGGGAAUAAAAAGACUAGUUGGGGAACUCAGCCCUUGGAUUAAUUAAAAAAAAAAAAUGGUACCAGCCACUUGCAAGAGAUCACUGAUUCCAUAUUUUGUAAAAAGAAAAUAUCAGGGGCUCCUUUGGACCCAAGUGGAAAAGACUUUGGUGCUGGUCCUUUUCAGAGUUUCUGUAAUAAAUCUAACCAACUUGGCAAUCUCAUUUUGGGCAAUGGAUCUCUAAGCAGAAGUGAAAAGCUGGUGUCCAAAGACAGAUCUCUAGACUCCAAUGAAGAGAAAAUAUUUCUAAAACUGUCAGUCGGUGUCCAGGGGAAGGAAUUCACCCUUUUUCUGUCCUUUGGAGUUCUUCCAAAGGGGUCUGGCAUCUUGCAUGGCAUGACAUUUUUUCUGUUUCUUUUUUAUCUAAAGGUUUAACAGCAUGGAUGACUUCUUCUCCUUCUCCUCCUCCUUCUCCUCCUCUCCUCCUCCUUCUCAUUAUUAUUAUCGUUGUCAUCAUCAUCAUCAUUAUUAUUUUGCUAAAAAGAAGCUUGGAAAGACACCUGUGUACAAGAAGGGUGGAUCUUGUGCUAAAAUAUAUUUCUAGAAUUAAAUAUUAAGAGCCUGUAUCAUUCAA